Molecule: ribosomal RNA, 501 nt
Filed under: uncultured bacterium
Lineage: Bacteria
Description: partial 16S ribosomal RNA
Source: RNAcentral
CACGUAGUUAGCCGGGGCUUCCUCCAAGGGUAAUGUCAUUUGUUUCUUCCCCUAGGACAGAAGUUUACAACCCGAAGGCCUUCUUCCUUCACGCGGCGUUGCUGCAUCAGGGUUUCCCCCAUUGUGCAAUAUUCCCCACUGCUGCCUCCCGUAGGAGUUUGGACCGUGUCUCAGUUCCAAUGUGGCCGAUCACCCUCUCAGGUCGGCUACUGAUCGUUGCCUUGGUAAGCCGUUACCCUACCAACUAGCUAAUCAGACGCAGGCCCAUCCCAUACCGAUAAAUCUUUGACAAGUGAUACAUGUGUAUCUCUUGCAUCAUGGGGUAUUAAUCACCUUUUCGGGUGGCUAUCCCCCUGUACAGGGCAGGUUGCCUACGCGUUACUCACCCGUCCGCCGCUUUCCAUAAUGAAAAUCUACCGAAGCUUCAUUUCUUUACUUCUCGCUCGACUUGCAUGUGUUAGGCACGCCGCCAGCGUUCAUCCUGAGCCAGGAUCAAACUCU